This is a long non-coding RNA of Passer domesticus (house sparrow), 2683 nucleotides long. RefSeq lists it as uncharacterized. The transcript is spliced from 5 exons. Lineage: Eukaryota; Metazoa; Chordata; Aves; Passeriformes; Passeridae. The record is from RefSeq and is a predicted model, not a curated record.
UUGAAAGCACUGCAAAGUGAGUGAUUCCAUGUUCAGAGCUUUCUUUCUGUGCUGCUCUUCUGCUUCAGAGAAGAAAGAGCAUCUGGACUGAACUGCCUGCCAGUGUCCCUGCCCUUCCUGUAUUCUGUUCUUCACUCUUAUCCACCAUCAUUGAACUCUCUGUCUCUUUUUCCUUUUUAUUUUCUGUUCUGCACUUUGCCUCCCCAAGCCUUUGCCCAGAGCCUUUCUGCACUGCCUUCUUUGCCUGAAAGUGCAAAGGUGCUGCUGUGAGAGUUUUAAACCAGAGGCCAAGCCAAAGAGAGACUCAUCUGUCACAGGUCUCCACUCCAAAGGAUGGCAUGGCACCCAGCAUGGUGCUUGCUGCUGAAAACUGACAAAAGAGCUACUUCCAAGUCUGCUGUCGAGGCAGCCAUAGAACCCUUGUCCUCCAGUCUCCUGCCCGACAGUGAUCCCCUUGGUAUCCAAGGCAGGGACGUUUUCCUCUUUUGGCAAACCAUUGUUUGUCGUCCGGACGGGGAGAGCGCAUCCGCUGCAGCAGCGCUCAUUCUGACUGGCUUUGCAGGGGACAGUCUCCAGCAACGACUGACUGAUGCUUCCCCCUCCAAUGCUAAUAUGCCUUCCCUUGGAAAGAUCCUGCUCUCCUAGUGCUGCAGCAGCAAGCUCUUCCUCCUGCCAGCACUCACUGCUCCUUGGAGAUCUGUGAAUCUUCAGGAGCAGCCUCCUUUUGCAUGUGAUGAAAUCAGAUCAGGCUAACUCUUGGCCUCCUGUUUCUUUUUCCCCUGGCAGUGCCUGCAAGGCCUGGCUUUCCUUCAUGUCAAGCAGGUGAUCCACAGAGACAUCAAAAGUGACAACAUCCUUCUGGGCCGGGAUGGCUCCGUCAAGCUGGCUGAUUUUGGCCUCUGUGCUGUGCUCAGCCCUGAGCACAGGAAACGGAGGUCGAUGGUCGGGACCACUUACUGGAUGGCACCCGAGGUCGUGAGAAGAGAGCCUUACGGCCCCAAAGUGGACACCUGGUCCCUUGGGAUUGUGGGAAUAGAAAUGGCCACAGGAGAGGCUCCUUAUAUGCAGGAGACCAGUGUCAAGGCCAGCUACCUGAUAGGCAAGCAAGGGGUUCCAAAUCUGCACCAGCUCAGGCUCCCCCCUGGCUUGUGUGAAUUUCUGGGCUGCUGCCUGCAGAUGGAUGUGGACAGGCGAGGCUCUGCCAAGGAACUUCUGCAGCAUCCAUUUCUGCAAUCAGCGGAGCCUCUCUUAAGCCUCUUCUGACAGCCUGAUUGCUGCCAUCCCUGCAGCAAGGGAAUGCAAGAAGCAAAGGAGAUGACAAGGUGUGAGAGUCUGUCCGAAACUUCCCUCAUUUUUUGCCUCUCGAUCGUCAUGAAAGCCAAGACCACCGGGGAAAGGGAAGGAUCCUGUUCUGAAAAUCCAGGUCUGUCUGGUCCACCAAGCCAGAUUAUUGCCUACGGGUGUGUUUGCUCAACUCAUGGAACACUGCACCCAAGAAGGGGCAGUGUGCUCUCCUUCGCCUGCAUCACCUAGCAACGCUAGUGCUGGAAUUUCUCCACCCUUCUGACUUGGCUGGACUUUCUCUCUGGAAUGACCUUUCUGGAGGUCACCACAAAAGGACCCUCCAUUCACCGUACAUCAACCACCGUGACAGAUGGACUGAGAUGGGAGAAGGUUCUCCCCUCAAGGACUGAGACGUGUGACCUCUACAUGGAAAAGCUCCCCUCUUCUUCCCAAAAGGACUGAGACUGAAAUCCCUACCGUAGGGUGAGGGAAGGCGUGCGUGGUGACCAAAGCAAGUUUUGCAAGCGACCACUGGACCGAGAAGACAAUGGUUCCUGCCUACGACAUCUGCUGCUGACGACGCCUGUUCCUGAUGGACUACUGAUGGACUCCUUGUACCCUUUAUCAAUAGACUAUUUUGAAAUGGGUCCCCUUCCCCCAUUUCAAAAGGACUAUAAAAAAGGUUAGGCCUGACUGAUACCUUUGAGAUCUCCCUGACGUGAAGAUGACAGGCCUCUUUAUCGACCGGACUUCGAGGGACUUUGUCAUCUGCACAUCUGGUAUGCUACCAGCGUGAAGGAGACUUGAAGACCUGCUGAUGAAGAUCCUUUCAAGACAAUCGUGAGUCACGGGGUCGUGUGAGAGUCUGUCCGAAACUUCCCUCAUUUUUUGCCUCUCGAUCGUCAUGAAAGCCAAGACCACCGGGGAAAGGGAAGGAUCCUGUUCUGAAAAUCCAGGUCUGUCUGGUCCACCAAGCCAGAUUAUUGCCUACGGGUGUGUUUGCUCAACUCAUGGAACACUGCACCCAAGAAGGGGCAGUGUGCUCUCCUUCGCCUGCAUCACCUAGCAACGCUAGUGCUGGAAUUUCUCCACCCUUCUGACUUGGCUGGACUUUCUCUCUGGAAUGACCUUCCCGGAGGUCACCACAAAAGGACCCUCCAUUCACCGUACAUCAACCACCGUGACAGAUGGACUGAGAUGGGAGAAGGUUCUCCCCUCAAGGACUGGGACAUGCGACCCCUACAUGGAAAAGCUCCCCUCUUCUUCCCAAAAGGACUAAGACUGAAAUCCCCACCGUAGGGUGAGGGAAGGCGUGCGUGGGGACCGGAGCAAGUUUUGCAAGUGACCACGGGACCGAGAACACAAUGGUUCCUGCCUACGACAUCUGCUGCUGACGACG